GCUAAAAAUCCAGCCCAACAAACAUGAAUACCAUUAAACUAACUAACUUCUUUUAAACAAACCAUUUUAACACUUUAGUAAAGGAGAUUGAAAAAUUUAUUGGAGCUAUAAUAAUAGUACCGCAAGGGAAAGAUGAAAUAUUUAAUGAAAAAUUUCAAGCAAUAAAAAGUAAAGAUUACCCCUUGUACCUUUUGCAUCAUGGUUUAACUAGUCUAAUCAAGCAAAACGUAUUUAAGUUUGACCUCCCGAAACUAAGUGAGCUACUUCAGGGCAGCUUUUAGAGCGAACCCGUCUCUGUAGCAAAAGAGUGGGAUGACCCUCAAGUAGCGGUGACAGACCUAACGAACUUAGUGAUAGCUGGUUACUCAAGAAAUGGAUCUAAGUCCAACCUGAAUAUUUACUCCUAGUCCAACAAGACAACUACUUUAUCUUCAGCGUAAUUCAAAUAAGGUACAGCCUAUUUGAAACAGGAUACAACCUAAACUAAUGGAUACACUGGCUUUAUACACAACCAAGUGGGCCUAAAAGCAGCCACCUUUAAAAUAGCGUCAAAGCUUAUUUGUCUACAAGCCUAAUCACUCAACCAUCACCUUAAUCCUCUAGCACUACUGAGUAAUUCUAUAACACUAUAGAAAAUUUUAUGUUAAAACUAGUAACAUGAAGGAAGUUCUUCUCUUCAAUGCAAGUGUACAUCAGUAAGGAUAAACCACUGAUACUUAGCGCACAAUGAAAUCAAAGUAGGAACUAAUCAAGAAAAGUCUACUCUCACCAGCGUUAACCUAACACAAGAGCAUUACAAGAAAGAUUAAAAGAAAAAGAAGGAACUCGGCAAAUAUUAACCUCGCCUGUUUACCAAAAACAUCGCCUCUUGAAUAAUUAUAAGAGGUCCAGCCUGCCCAGUGACCAUGUUCAACGGCCGCGGUAUCCUAACCGUGCGAAGGUAGCGUAAUCACUUGUUCUUUAAAUGUGGACUAGUAUGAAUGGCACCACGAAGGUUAUACUGUCUCCUUUUUCUAAUCAGUGAAACUAAUCUCCCCGUGAAGAAGCGGGGAUAACUCUAUAAGACGAGAAGACCCUAUGGAGCUUAAAACAACAUAACAAUUGCUUCACAACACAUAAUUUCCCGAAUUCUCCACUUCUAUGAGCAAUAUGUUUACAAGUUUUUGGUUGGGGUGACCGCGGAGCAUAACACAACCUCCAUGUUGAAAGAAUUUUUCUAAGCUAAGACCAACUAGCCUAAGCAUCAGUACUCUGACAUUCAUUGACCCAAUAUAUUUGAACAACGAACCAAGUUACCCUAGGGAUAACAGCGCAAUCCACUUCAAGAGCUCCUAUCGACAAGUGGGUUUACGACCUCGAUGUUGGAUCAGGGUAUCCCAGUGGUGCAGCCGCUACUAAAGGUUCGUUUGUUCAACGA
Molecule: ribosomal RNA, 1417 nt
Filed under: Anaxyrus punctatus (red-spotted toad)
Lineage: Eukaryota; Metazoa; Chordata; Amphibia; Anura; Bufonidae
Description: partial 16S ribosomal RNA
Rfam family: Bacterial large subunit ribosomal RNA
Source: RNAcentral